GACGAACGCUGGCGGCGUGCCUAAUACAUGCAAGUUGAGCGAGGAAGAUUGGUGCUUGCACCAAUUUGAAGAGCAGCGAACGGGAGAGUAACGCGUGGGGAAUCUGCCUUUGAGCGGGGGACAACAUUUGGAAACGAAUGCUAAUACCGCAUAACAACUUUAAACAUAAGUUUUAAGUUUUAAAGUUGCAAUUGCAUCACUCAAAGAUGAUCCCGCGUUGUAUUAGCUAGUUGGUGUGGUAAAGGGUCACGAAGGCGAGGAUACGUAGCAGACCUGAGAGGGUGAGCUGCCACACUGGGACGGGGACACGGCCCAAACCCCUAGGGGAGGGAGCCGUAGGGGAUCUUUGGGAAGGGACGAAGGGCUGAACAAGCGACGCCGCGUGAGUGCAGAAGGUUGCCGUGUCGUGAAAGUCUGUUAGUAGUGAGGAACGUUAGUGAGUGUGGAAAGCUCAGCAAGUGACGGUAACGAGCCAGAAAGCGACGGCUAACUACGUG
This 497-nucleotide ribosomal RNA is filed under the name uncultured bacterium. RNAcentral's name for it is "partial 16S ribosomal RNA". It matches the Rfam family "Bacterial small subunit ribosomal RNA", at positions 28 to 507 of the family's 1533-position model. The record is from RNAcentral.